GUGCUCACUUCAGCAGCACACAUACUGAAAAACUGGAACGAUACAGGGAGGAUUAGCAUGGCCCCUGCGCAAGGAUGACACGCAAAUUCAUGAAGCAUUCCAAAAACAC
This is a small nuclear RNA of Zalophus californianus (California sea lion), 109 nucleotides long. The record is from Ensembl. Lineage: Eukaryota; Metazoa; Chordata; Mammalia; Carnivora; Otariidae.